ACAAGAACUUCUACAUCAAGCUCAUCGAUAUGUCCUGGAAAAUACAAUUGAUAUCCAACCAUAUAUGGAGUAAGUUUGUUCAUUGCUUUCUUCAUUGUUUCAUUGACUUUUAUAUAAUUAAUCUAACUAUAUUACAAUGUUUGUAUGAUGACUAUAAAGAAAACAUAUGAAAGCUUUGGAACUACGAUAUCGGAAUAAGUCUAAAAAUCAGAAAUGGCUUCAAGAGGAACAUGAUCGAACGUUUAUUUGGCUAUAAGAAGAGGUAUAGUGAUGAACUUUGUAAUUUAGUUAUACAUGUUAUGUGUUAAACUUGAAAUAAGAAUUCUCAUGGUAGGUAUCAACUGAGCUUGAAGUUGGAAAUACUGGAGUUUCAUAUAACUUAAGGUGGAUUGCUCAUGGCCCUCAUCCUUUUGUUAUUACAUAUAGUGGUUGCAAUAAACGGAUGUCGCUAUCACAAAAAAUCUUCUAAGAAGGAUCGAAAUAUACAAAACAACGGAGUUAGCUUAGUUGCAAAAACAAUGCAAGUAUCUAGUUCUAAAGAUAAAAAUUCCAUCAUUGGAGAUAUUUCUUUCUAUGGAGUGAUACAAGAGAUAUGAGAACCCAAUUAUAAUACGUUUAAUGUUUCGGUGUUUAAAUGCGAUUGGGUUCAGAAUAGUGGUGGUGUUCGUAUCAAUGAACUUGGUUAUGUUUUAGUUGAUUUAAAUAGAGUAAGACACAAGUCAGACUCAUUUAUACUAGUAAGCCAAGCAAAGCAAGUGUUUUAUGUUGAGGAUCCAAGUGAUGUUAGAUGGUCAGUUGUACUCACUCCACCACGAAGAGACUUUGAAGGUAGGUAUAAUGAUGACGAACUUGGUGAAACAAUACUCCAGUGUGAAGGAAUACCCAAUGAUAUGUCAGAUGUCGAUUUAAACAAUGACUUGGAUGACAUGAUCUCAACGUACAUAAGAUCAGAUUGUGAAGGCACAUGGAUACCUACAUAAUAUUAUAAUGGUGUGUUUUUAAAAUUUCAAACAACUAGACCAUAAGUUUAUUAUGUUCAUUUAUCUCAUUUCAUUAUUUAUUGUUUAAAAUUUGUAUAUCAUGCUAAUUGUUUCUUCAUUUUGAUUGACAACUUUCACAUAAUAUAAUAUGGACGAUUUUAAUGAAGAACUUGGUGUCGGUGAGUUGAAUGCAACAGUUGAAGAGAUUGAUACUAAAAAUGAAACCCCAAAAGAGUUGAAGCGACGACGAGGACCUACUACUAUGUUUGAUGUAACUCGCAUUAGAAGUUUGGGAGACAAGAAGGUGGUGAGAUACAAUGAAGACGGAGCACCUAUUGGUGAGAAUGGAGCCAAGUUAAAGUCUUUCAUAGGGUCUGCAACCCAUUAUCAUGUCCCUAUCACAUAUACGUCUUGGAAAAGUGUACCUGCAGAACUGAAAGAUAAGAUAUUCACUACAGUUGAGGUAUUUUGUUUCGUUAGUUUAAGAACUGGCUAACAACAAAAUACAUCAUGCCACGUAAAGAUGAACCACAACUUCUUCAAGUUCCACCUGAAAAGUAUUCCUUCAUUGAGCAAAAUCACUGGGAAGAGUUUGUAAGGUCAAGAAUAUCCGAGACCUUUCAGGAAAAAAGAUAAUUACAACAAGAUAGAUGAUCGAAGAACAAAUACAAUCAUAGAAUCUCAAGGAAAGGGUAUGCCAAUCUUAAGGAGGAAAUGAAGGAGGGUUCAAAUGAAGUUGAUCAUGUUGAUCGAGCUAAAAUGUGGAAGAAAGCUCGAGUUAACAAACAAGGACAGUACGACAACGACGACAUUCAGCAAAUUGUCCAUAAAAUAAUUCAUCGUCUGUGAACAGACACUAUUCGAAUGAUGUGUUAAUCCAAGCAUUGGGCAAAAGAGCACAAUGGUCGUGUGCGUGGGGUUGGUGGAUACAUUACUCCGACAACGUACUUUCAUUUAGUUAAGAAAACAUCAAAAGAUGAGACGAACAUUCUAGUUGAGAAUGAAGAACUCCGAAGGCAAGUUAGUGAAUUAAAGGCACAAAUUUGCUCAAACUUGGCUACACCAUUGUCUGCACACGGGAGUUGUUCAAGGCCAAUAAUGUUAGAGGGGAUUGAAGAGAAGGGUACAAGAAUAGAAGUGGAAUCGAUGGACAAACCAAAAGAGAAUUAAAAGGAAGGGAAGGAGGUGAUGAAGAUGAAUGAACCAAAGUUUGACGUUUUGAAAGUAUGUAAUCCACUAUUAAACUGGAAUGUCUAAUAUUGUAUGUCUUAUUGAAUGUGGAUGUUCUUGAAUUAGGAGAGGGACUUAAUAAAAAUGCCUACGGAAAAAGAAGUUGUAUGUGAGUCGACAUCAACUUUGCCAUUAGCUUUGAAAUCGAUUCUCAGAUAUGUUGAGAAGGUAAUGGAGAAAGAUUCCAGCAUCACUUUUUCACUACCAGCUGACAUUUUUGGUAUUAGUCGAAAGCGCUCUGUGCUUUGAGAGGAUAUAAUUGAUCUUUGUUACAUGAACGAUGUCAAAACGUUCACAUUGGUGGCCUAUAUGAU
This is a long non-coding RNA of Cucumis melo (muskmelon), 2524 nucleotides long. RefSeq lists it as uncharacterized. The transcript is spliced from 5 exons. Lineage: Eukaryota; Viridiplantae; Streptophyta; Magnoliopsida; Cucurbitales; Cucurbitaceae. The record is from RefSeq and is a predicted model, not a curated record.